RNAcentral lists this transfer RNA (71 nucleotides) under Marmota monax (woodchuck). RNAcentral describes it as "tRNA.Ala". It matches the Rfam family "tRNA". Rfam says of the family: Transfer RNA (tRNA) molecules are approximately 80 nucleotides in length. Their secondary structure includes four short double-helical elements and three loops (D, anti-codon, and T loops). The record is from RNAcentral. Lineage: Eukaryota; Metazoa; Chordata; Mammalia; Rodentia; Sciuridae.
GGGGUUGUGGCUCAGCGGUAGAGCACUCGCCUAGCAUGUGUGAGGCCCUGGGUUCGAUCCUCAGCACCACA